Non-coding RNA from Pseudomonas sp. FeS53a, 87 nucleotides. The record is from Rfam. NCBI's taxonomy places the organism in Bacteria, Pseudomonadati, Pseudomonadota, Gammaproteobacteria, Pseudomonadales, Pseudomonadaceae.
CUCUAUGGCGGACCGCGUGGGGAGACCCUCGGGUCUGCCGGAUUCCAAUGUCUCCGGUUCGCUAACCCCGCGCGGUCUGCCACCCUU